GACGAACGCUGGCGGCGUGCUUAACACAUGCAAGUCGAACGGAAAGGCCCUGCUUUUGUGGGGUGCUCGAGUGGCGAACGGGUGAGUAACACGUGAGUAACCUGCCCUUGACUUUGGGAUAACUUCAGGAAACUGGGGCUAAUACCGGAUAGGAGCUCCUGCCGCAUGGUGGGGGUUGGAAAGUUUCGGCGGUUGGGGAUGGACUCGCGGCUUAUCAGCUUGUUGGUGGGGUAGUGGCUUACCAAGGCUUUGACGGGUAGCCGGCCUGAGAGGGUGACCGGCCACAUUGGGACUGAGGUAGGGCCCAGAAUCCUACGGGAGGCAGCAGUGGGGAAUAUUGCACAAUGGGCGGAAGCCUGAUGCAGCAACGCCGCGUGCGGGAUGACGGCCUUCGGGUUGUAAACCGCUUUCGCCUGUGACGAAGCGUGAGUGACGGUAAUGGGUAAAGAAGCACCGGCUAACUACGUG
RNAcentral lists this ribosomal RNA (468 nucleotides) under uncultured bacterium. Its description in RNAcentral is "partial 16S ribosomal RNA". It matches the Rfam family "Bacterial small subunit ribosomal RNA", at positions 28 to 507 of the family's 1533-position model. The record is from RNAcentral.